GACGAACGCUGGCGGCGUGCCUAAUACAUGCAAGUAGAACGCUGAAGGAGGAGCUUGCUUCUCCGGAUGAGUUGCGAACGGGUGAGUAACGCGUAGGUAACCUGCCUGGUAGCGGGGGAUAACUAUUGGAAACGAUAGCUAAUACCGCAUAAGAGUAGAUGUCGCAUGACAUUUGCUUAAAAGGUGCAACUGCACCACUACCAGAUGGACCUGCGUUGUAUUAGCUAGUUGGUGAGGUAACGGCUCACCAAGGCAACGAUACAUAGCCGACCUGAGAGGGUGAUCGGCCACACUGGGACUGAGACACGGCCCAGACUCCUACGGGAGGCAGCAGUAGGGAAUCUUCGGCAAUGGACGGAAGUCUGACCGAGCAACGCCGCGGGAGUGAAGAAGGUUGUCGGAUCGUAAAGCUCUGUUGUAAGAGAAGAACGAGUGUGAGAGUGGAAAGUUCACACUGUGACGGUAUCUUACCAGAAAGGGACGGCUAACUACGUG
This 495-nucleotide ribosomal RNA is filed under the name uncultured bacterium. RNAcentral's name for it is "partial 16S ribosomal RNA". It matches the Rfam family "Bacterial small subunit ribosomal RNA", at positions 28 to 507 of the family's 1533-position model. The record is from RNAcentral.